RNAcentral lists this ribosomal RNA (795 nucleotides) under Stenotrophomonas sp. PF1B9. Its description in RNAcentral is "bacterial SSU rRNA". It matches the Rfam family "Bacterial small subunit ribosomal RNA", at positions 63 to 847 of the family's 1533-position model. The record is from RNAcentral. Lineage: Bacteria; Pseudomonadati; Pseudomonadota; Gammaproteobacteria; Lysobacterales; Lysobacteraceae.
CCGGCAGCACAGGAGAGCUUGCUCUCUGGGUGGCGAGUGGCGGACGGGUGAGGAAUACAUCGGAAUCUACUUUUUCGUGGGGGAUAACGUAGGGAAACUUACGCUAAUACCGCAUACGACCUACGGGUGAAAGCAGGGGAUCUUCGGACCUUGCGCGAUUGAAUGAGCCGAUGUCGGAUUAGCUAGUUGGCGGGGUAAAGGCCCACCAAGGCGACGAUCCGUAGCUGGUCUGAGAGGAUGAUCAGCCACACUGGAACUGAGACACGGUCCAGACUCCUACGGGAGGCAGCAGUGGGGAAUAUUGGACAAUGGGCGCAAGCCUGAUCCAGCCAUACCGCGUGGGUGAAGAAGGCCUUCGGGUUGUAAAGCCCUUUUGUUGGGAAAGAAAUCCAGCUGGUUAAUACCCGGUUGGGAUGACGGUACCCAAAGAAUAAGCACCGGCUAACUUCGUGCCAGCAGCCGCGGUAAUACGAAGGGUGCAAGCGUUACUCGGAAUUACUGGGCGUAAAGCGUGCGUAGGUGGUCGUUUAAGUCCGUUGUGAAAGCCCUGGGCUCAACCUGGGAACUGCAGUGGAUACUGGACGACUAGAGUGUGGUAGAGGGUAGCGGAAUUCCUGGUGUAGCAGUGAAAUGCGUAGAGAUCAGGAGGAACAUCCAUGGCGAAGGCAGCUACCUGGGACCAACACUGACACUGAGGCACGAAAGCGUGGGGGAGCAAACAGGAUUAGAUACCCUGGUAGUCCACGCCCUAAACGAUGCGAACUGGAUGUUGGGUGCAAUUUGGCACGCAGUAUC